Molecule: transfer RNA, 72 nt
Filed under: Ovis aries (sheep)
Lineage: Eukaryota; Metazoa; Chordata; Mammalia; Artiodactyla; Bovidae
Rfam family: tRNA
About the family: Transfer RNA (tRNA) molecules are approximately 80 nucleotides in length. Their secondary structure includes four short double-helical elements and three loops (D, anti-codon, and T loops).
Source: Rfam by way of RNAcentral
CCCCUGGUGGCUGAGACAAUAAAGAACCUGCCUGUAAUGUAGGAGAUCCAGGUUCGAUCCCUGGGUUGGGAA